CGGGAUAGCUCAGUUGGUAGAGCAGAGGACUGAAAAUCCUCGU
Molecule: transfer RNA, 43 nt
Filed under: Aphragmus sp. HZS3
Lineage: Eukaryota; Viridiplantae; Streptophyta; Magnoliopsida; Brassicales; Brassicaceae
Description: partial tRNA-Phe
Source: RNAcentral